GUUCUGAAGGUUAUACUGAAUUUGUGCCUUGUAAAACUUUCUUGCUGGAAUUACAGCAUUUAAGGCAAUAGAAAAGCCUAAAGUCCAAUCUUUCUGGAAAUGUCCUGUUCCCUUCAGCUGCCUUCUGGACAUCACUGCCUCUCUGGUGGAACAGCAGAACAGAUGUUAACUACAGCAGUUGCUCUCAGUAAAUGGCUCACUUUCUGUAGUGGCUCAUCUACCUUCUGGCUGAGCAGAAGAACAAUCUGAUAUCAAUUGUAAUGCCAUCCUCAAAGCCAUCCUUCAAAUGUGUGCAGUGGGAGAAGUGAAGGGUAUGCAACAGACAGGCUCUCAUUUCUCAGCUGCUUUUUGUCUUCACUCACUGCUCCUUCCUCGUCAGUCAGCCACUUGCUGCCCUCAUCUCACACAGAAACCCCAGGAAAACCUUCCCAUGCAUUCCCUAGCAGGGGAUGCUCUCGUAGUCCAAACAUGAAUGUUGCCAGAGCCACAACCUGUUCCUUGUUCAGCUCAGCACAGCGCAUCUAAGCAGAUGGAGACAGCUGCAACAUGAGAGUUGCACAAAACCCAAGAAGAAAUGAGCAAGAACGUACCAUCCAGCAGCAGCCCUGCAAAUAGGGAAAAGGGAGAAGCAAGUCUUGGGUUCUUGUCCCAUCUUCAGGGUUGGUUCAUGGAUUUUACAUUGAAAAAUGAUAGAAUAAAUGAUUAAAAAGAAGAAGAAGAAGAUGACAGAAGAAUCAAAUCUGGGAGUGGAAACAAGAUGUUCUCCUUCCAGGAAGAAGGAAGAAAGGAAGAGAGGGCCUGGGUUUAUUUUGCUUUCCUAACCCCAGAUGUCUUGUCCACUGUAACCACCAGCCUGUAGGAGAACCUACGAAGCAGCCCAAACCUGAAAUGGGGCCAACUUACAAGAAGUAAAUAAGGAUUCUUCAGUUCCAAAAGACAGCUCACCUAUGCAACACUGGCAUACUACAGUGGCUGCUCCAAAAGUAAUGCUUCCCAUUUUAUUUUGUUGGCAAACUAUGACAGAGACAGACAUUGAUACUAUGGCAGUACAGGUUGAACCUUUCCCCCGAUAUUCCAUUACAUUUUGUUGUUGUGCAACAGAUGGAAGCAGAGGGGCAGUCUGACAAAAUGGUGUCUUACAUGGAAGUAUGUGUGAAGCAAAGGUGUGUCACUGAAUUCCUCCAUGUGGAAAAAGCAUACUGACAUUCAUUAAUGCUUGCUGAAUGUUUCUGGAGACCAAACAGUGGAUGUGAGCACAGUGAGGAGGUGGGUGAUGUGUUUUAACAGUGGUGUCAGCAACGUGGAAGACAAGUCAUGUUCUGAUGGCCAUGCCCAGCUGUCACACCGUGAAAUGAAGAGUGGUUUUAUCAGCUCAUCCACACAGGAAUCAGCUAAUGGUGGUGAUUAUGCAAAAAAAUAGUGUUUUGUAGAGAAGAGUUUGCUUUAUCAAACACUAUUACCGUGCUCUUUGUAUCUGUUGCAGUUUCUAUAGAAAUAAAUAGGAGGCAUUACCUCAGAGCAGCCGAUGUACAUACCACUGAAAAAUUUCAUUGCCUCAAACUUUGAUGUAUUGCUAUAAGUUUUUUUCCAAAUCAAGAGAAAACAAAACAAGAAUCUCUCCUCAAUGACUCCACACUGCCCUGCACCACAUACAGUUCCUGAGCAGCAGACGGUUCCUAGGGGAGCUUGGUUGCACGAUAAGUGCUGGUGCUAUGAAUUGUUGCAGUGGGUUACAGAGUAAUCUCAACUUUUGUUUGCAGGAGGGAGUCUGGUAGCCCAAGCUUUUGAGGGUGAUAUUAUUUCCUUGAUUGUAUGAUUAGACUGCAUGGCUAAUCCAGUCCAUCCUUGUAAUGGACAGGUGGGAGUCCUAAUGAGCCAUCAUCAGCUCCUCCUGAGAGCUUCCACUUCCCUCAGUCUAUCUGCAUUAGUAGCAUUUGUGUGUGUUGUGGCCUCCAGCCAUAUGAAGAUUUCAGUGAGCAGCUCACAGAGGCAAAGAAGGUAGCAUCCACAAAAAGUGGAGAUACUCAGGAGUAAGUAUAGACACCUGGCUCCCAGUCCUUGCUUCACUGGUUGGUUUAUGUAUUUAAAAUACAUUUUUAUCUUAUAUUUAACAUCUACAUUAGAAAUCUUACAUAAACCAGUCAUUGGAGCAGGGGCUGAGAUUCAGGUGUCUCUGGCCCUCAGUGAAUGUUCCUGCUAUGCAGGAUACAGCUCCUUAGGUGAUACAGGCAGAGGAACAUGCUUGUGGAACCUGUCAGGCAUAAAUUAGACAUGGGGAAUUCAGCUCUGCUGUCACUGAAAGACUCCUAGACAUACCGAGAAACAUCAGGCACUUGGUUUAAUGCUGAAAGCAGAGGACUGAUUGGUAGCUGAAAAAUAUUUGGAUGCAGGCACCUUAAGAUCAAUCAUGUAUUUUUAAAAUCUUACUAAAUACUUAUUUGCAUCUUUAGGUACCUAAGUAACUGCAACAGUUUGAUUUCAGGUCAAUUUAAAUACUUGUGCUUCUUGCAUGUUAUUUUAAGACUUUUCCCUUAAUAAUUUUUUUUCCACUCUAAAAGUGGUUUCCUAAUGCGACUCAGAGGGAGACUGUCAUUAGUAAGUCAUUAAUGAGCCUGCAACUUUGAUUGUGUUCAUUACAUGUCAAGUAAGAAUUAUUUCAAUGAAAUAAAUUACUUUUUUUUUUUUUUGCCUAAUCAGUAGGACAAGAAUUCAUGCUCAGCAUCCCUUUACUCUGAGAGAUUUGAUCCUUUUGUUUGAAAUAUGUUAGCUAGAACUGUUACUUUCAACCUAUAUUUCUGGUUCUCAGCUAUUAAAACAGAAAUGUAUUUUGUUUGUCUGACCAGGAAAAGGCACUUUGAAAAUAUCUGUCCUAUUGCCUAGGCAGCCUCACUAAGGGGUUGUGCUCACACUUAUAAAUUACAAAAACAGAAGAAAAAAAGAAGAAAACAUAAAACUCUACUGUACAUAAGCAAUUAUUUAAAAAUAAUCAUUUUCUGCUAGCAUUUUUUGGCAGCAUGCGCUCUGAGACACGCGAUAAUAUGGAACUAGCCCAAAGACACUGCUGCAUGUUAGUAAAUAUCACGUGAGUUUUCAGGGUCAUCACCCAGGACUGUCACAAAACAGGUUAUGUCAGAGGCAAGCUGAGCAUCAGCUUUGAAAUUCCUGUUCGAUUAACUGGUGACCUUCUUGAGCCUUCUGCAGAAUAUAUUUAAGCAUUAGAAAGAAAAUAGAUGAUGAGAAAGUCCACAAAAAUACUCUGUCUUUAUAGGUGCAGCAGCUGGAUCAUACAGUGAAGUGAAAACCUAUGGGAAGUAGGGCCCCAUCCUGCAAAUAUCCGUAUAUUCACUGAAUUUUGUUUCUUCCAACCCCCAGGGGACAGGACAGCACUCCAGCUCCUUCACACUGAGGCAGAGCUUUUCUGAAGGACUCGAGUCCGCAUUUGCACGCCUCAUUUUCUCAUUGUUCAACUUUGCUCCAUGACUUGUUUGUACAACAAAGGUAAGCAUGAAAUAGGCCUUGCUCCAGAGGAGGGUGUUUCUAAGGUAUUGCUUAUAUACAUAUGAAUAAACACAGUAUUUUAAUUUUCUGUAGACUAGCAUUAUGUUCAUUAUUGCAGUAAAAACUUAUGCAGAAUGUAAACUCUCAGAUGUGAUAAAACAGUAUCACCCUUUGAAGACUAGUUUCACAUUGAAUACACUGUAUUUUUAAAAGCUGUUAAAUUACGUGUCAGUUGUAAACAUUCUUUGACUAUCCUGCAGCUAAAACAAGAUGGAAGUUUACAUUUAAAAUAAGGAACAAAUCCCUGAAUAUUUCACCCUCAACCUUGUAAGCAGCUCCAUGGUGCCAGGAUGCAUUACCUUCACCUGGAAUCCACCAGAUCACAGUAAUCCAUAUAUCAUAGAACCAUGGAAUGGUUUGGGUUGGAAGGGACCUUUAGGAUCAUCUAGUUCCACUCCCCUUCAAUAGGCAGGGACACCUCCCCCUAGACCAGGUCGCUCACAGCCCCAUCCAGCCUGGCCUUGAAUGCUUCCAGGGAGGGGGCAUUCACAACCUCUCUGGACAACCUGUUUCACUGUCUCACCACGUUCACAGUAAAGAAUUUCUUCCUAAUAUCUAGUCUAAAUCUACAUUUUUCCAGUUUAAAACCACUUCCCCUCAUCCUGUCACUACAUGCCCUUACAAAAAGUCCCUCCCCAGUGCAUAUAUGUGUAUUGAUAAAAGAUAUACCCACAAAAAAUCCUAUUAAAAAGUUAUAGAAGAAGGAUUCAGCCACACCCUUUCUUUCCCAAAUCAGAAUAUUACUCUUUUAUUGCAGCAAGACCACUCUAGUAUGUCAGUGGAAAUUUUCAUGAAUUGAUAUAUUUGAUGAAGGUCCUCUUCAUCAAAUGGAUCCUCUCCUCAGUGUAGGACUUCAAUUUUGUUCAGUGCAUACUGCAAUCAUCCCAUUAUGAAAAAAAGAUUCUUGAAAAUGUGAAUGAAAUGAAGCUGAUGCAGUGUUGGUGUUGUGAGUAUGCCUGUACUUAACCUCAAAGUAGCAUUAUUUACUGCUUUCCUGCUGAAAAACUGGAUAAAAGUUGAUGUAACUCAUACAUCAAUUACAUUUCAGUGCCACUUAGACUAUCAAAAUCACUGAGUCAGUGAGACAACUCACAUGAAAAUAUCUUUUGCUAGAUGGUUAGGGUUACAUGACAAACUUAUCAUUUUCAAAACUUUAAAUUGGAUUUCAUGUCAUAUUUAUUGUGAACUGCCAAUGAAGUCAGAAAAAUACCUGUUUAAAAAAAACCCAUACUUCUACGCUCUCCAAUAGACAGACAACCAUAGAUUGCAAACUACUGGUCUUCAUCUAAUCUACCCAGAAUUUAGAUGACCUAGAGGUGAUGAGAAUUGUUUGGUAAUGUUUUAAAAUGUUUUGGGAAAUAUUUGUAAAAUUAUUUGAGUUCCUAAGAGAGAAAAGUGUCACUACUGUCCAAACUGUUGCCGUUAUGUAUAGAUACUAAUUGCAGUGUGUUUCACAAACAGGUGAAACUCAACUGUAUUGGUUAAAGUAACAUUCACAAACGAGAGAUACAAAAAUGUAGAUAGAGCUAUCCAAAUAUGUUGUGCAAAGCCAAAAGAAUGUAAGAAAAAAAUAAUUAUAAGGAAUAAAGCAGUGAUUAAAAUGAUCGAAAUGUAUGAAUAUGAAUAUUGAAGUAUAGACCAAGAGUGACACAUGCAAAGCUGGGUGAAUAAGCCAUGGAGACUGUCUCUACUUCUCUUUCCUCCCAUGGUACUCUCCAAGAUGAUGAAGUGUGGAUUUGUUUCUCUCCACAGUUCCUUUACCCCCAGUAGUGUCUCCCAUCACUUCAGCUUCACCACAGCACUUCUGCAUGAUCUGGGACUUUCCUUUUGUUGUAUUUCUUUUGGGAGGACAGUCUGUGCAACCUGCUAAGGGAUAUGUAUGUGCUUAUUGUGGUUUCCCAGACCAGCUGCGGGCCACUGACUGUAACCGCAAACCAGCAGCAGUAUGAGAUGAGACCCUAGGGAAGUGUGGACAAACCAAACAAGUGGUGGCUACCCAAUCCUGGACAGACAGGAGGGGCAUGUAGCUGGGCUGAGCGGUCCUGUUAUGAAAUUUUUCCUGCUUUCCUUACAAACUGGCCAGGGAAGCCUUUCCCUCAUUUAGACAGAGAAUUGUGUGUUCUGCACAGACACUUCAUGAAAAAGUCCCUUGGGUAGGUUAGAUAAGAGUACAACCUCCUGGACAUGGUAAUGUAUGAAAGGCACUUCAACUUCUCCACUCAUUUAACAUUUAACUUGGCAAAAAAGAUGUGUUGCUUUAUCAAGAAAUGACAGGCAGAGCCCAUGACUAUUAAGGAAGGAGUGAUGCUGAGACAGACAAUUACGACUUGGGUAAGUGUUGGCUGCCCCAAACCCCCUGAGAUCUAUUUGUUGUUCUGAGCAAAUUGCUUUUGUUUUGUCUUUUUUUCAACAAGUGAAUGUAUUUUGACUUUCUUAUGUAAUUGCAUGUUUGCCUUUCUUCUCCUCCAGACCUUCCAGUGAUGGUACCCCUGAAGCUUCAUGGUUUCAUCAUCUUUAAAGUCUAGAGGAAACCUCUACCAUUACUAAGAGAGAUGGUUCUCUGGGUAGAAAAUGGAAGGGUUUUGCUUGGUUUGUACUAUAACAUAAUAUUCAGCAAGUGGCAGUUUCUCUGGUGGAUGGUGAUACUGCUCCAGCACACUUAUACAAUGGGAUAUCACUAAUGCCUCCAUUUGGUAGAUUAAAUGCUUCGAUUCUUAA
Gallus gallus (chicken) is the source of this 6276-nucleotide long non-coding RNA. RefSeq lists it as uncharacterized. The record is from RefSeq and is a predicted model, not a curated record. The transcript is spliced from 4 exons. Lineage: Eukaryota; Metazoa; Chordata; Aves; Galliformes; Phasianidae.